Corvus hawaiiensis (hawaiian crow) is the source of this 4395-nucleotide long non-coding RNA. RefSeq lists it as uncharacterized. The record is from RefSeq and is a predicted model, not a curated record. The transcript is spliced from 3 exons. Lineage: Eukaryota; Metazoa; Chordata; Aves; Passeriformes; Corvidae.
GCUGCGAGCCCUGCUGUCCCCACAAGGAUGAAGUAAUCCUAAAGGAGCCAGCGUCCCCAUGUGUCUCUGCCUCCCAGCAUUGUUCACAAGCUUGGAAUGGUACCCUGGGAAGAAGCAUGCUGCAUAUGCUUGGUGAUCAGCUAUGAACCGGCUAUAGAGACAGCAGUGGAUGAAAAUUAAUCUAUUUAAAGAGAGCUACACUGUUGGAUUUAACAGAAGACUGGAGGUAUUGGAGCAGCCUGAUUCUGUUUCUCACCAGAAAUCAAGUAUGCAAAAAGUACUUUUGAAGACAAUGUAGAAGAAAAGACAUAAUUUAACACACUGUAUGAUAAAAUACAAUAAUUAUCUGCCAAGCAAUAAAUCACAUGGCUCCACUUGUUUGAGAAGACCUGGUAUAUAUUGUAAAGAGACAUGAGCAUGAAAACAUAGUAGUUACUUGAUGUGGGAAUAGUAUCUUCAUAUUUCACUGGAUGCAGUUAAAAAAGCCCCAACUUUUUGCCCUCCUUGUUGCAUUAAUGAAAUGUUGUCGACUUUUACACGCCCUUUAAUGUUUUCAAUUAAAAUGCAAACUAUAUUAUGUAUCCCAUUCAAAUUUCAUUAAAUUUUGAUCCUAACAGUAAGAGUUUUCUGUAAGAUACAACAAAUACAAAUCUGGAAAAAAAAGAAAGAUAAUACUCUUACUGGCAUUUUAUAAAAAAAAUUACAAAAACUGGUUUCCAACACAGGCCAAAGGAGACUGAAUUCAUAUUCCAAGAGGGGAUGUUAUAUGUUAUCUGUUGUGUGUGUACACUUGGAGUGAUUUACUUAAUGUAACAUAUAGGGUGUUUAAAAUUAUGCAAAAACUUGAACUGCAAUUAUAUCAAUAUCUGUAGUUGUGAUUAUUCAGAUCACAGUAUUCUGGAAUGUGUUUGAUGUAUUAUGAGUAAUGUUCAAAACUUUCUACAGGUUAUUUUGAAUAUAUAGCUAUAAAUUGAGUAACAGGAUAAAGCAUAGAUCUUUCCAAAACAAUAUAAAAGCCAGAUUGAAAUUUUUAAACAAAGCCAACUUCUAUCUCAGUUAAAAAAGCAACUGAAAAUCUUAAAAUAGCUGAGGUACCUUUCUCCUGCAAAAAAACCUCCAGAAACUCUAAAAAACAAAACUAAUUUGCUCAUUUUCAUGUUUUUUCUUUAACAUCAAAAUUUCAAGGAAUUAUUUCCAAAGACUUAAACCAAUUGAGAAGCAAUGUAGGAUGGAUAUAUAGAAUCUACUUUUGCCGGUACUGGGAUUUGCAGAUAAGGUUGUCUCUCCUCGUAACCCUUAAUAUACAAUGUAGUGAUUAGUCAGAGUGUACUCAUUAAGGGUAGAAAAGGGGGAAAUACUGUACCCAUAAUACAGAUUAGGGGAGGAACAAGUGGUCCACCCCAUCCAAGCUGAAAUGCAUCCUAAAUGAAAUAGAAAUAUAUAGCCUGUUAUUAGUUGUGAAUCUGUAAUGACAGACACUUGAUGCUAUGUUUUAUAACUCAAUUAUAUGAGGAAUGUUUCUUUCGUACUAAUGAAGUUUUGAGUACUCUUGAAAAUGCCUCAUUGUCACUUUCCUGGUAAGGGAAUCUUAAGGAAUAGCCAUUGAAUUUUAGAGGAUAUUUAAGACAUCAAAUGCUCUAAUUUAAUUUUAAAAGUUAUUAAAUUGGACUGGAAAUUUGAAAUACAGUAAAUGUUUAAAGCCAUCAGCCAGAAAUAUGCAUAAGGCAUGCAAAACUGAAAGUGCAAGUGGAUUUCAGAUUGUUCACUGCCUUCUACUAUUUCUCUAAUAAAUCAAGCACAGCAUGACAUGCUUUAUUUUGUGAAAUUAGACACAAAUGCAUGCUUUAUUGUAACUUAAUUCUCUAACUCAGCAAAGCAAGUGUACUCAGUAUUCUAUAUUUUCAAGUAGCAUACCAAUUCAGAACUAGCGCAAAAGCAUUAUACUGCGAGUACUAAAAAGCUAAACAAAAAGCAAUGGGUAUAUUCAAAUCUCAGUUUGCAGCUACUUCUGCUUAGUACAUACACUAAUUGAGAUGAGAAUAUAAACCCUAAGACAGAAAUUUAAAUUAAAUUAAAGCAAUCCUUUACUUUGCCUUCCAGCAUCUGGGUGGAGUCGGUUUUGAGAUUCAAUAUAGAAAGUAUGAAAAUUUCUCAGAAUUCAGUAUACUAGCAGAUAUUCUAAAUGCCUUUAAUAGGGCAAAAUUCACUUCUGUGCUUAAGGCAAGCACAGGCUAUGGAUCACUUGUACCCUAUUUUGGUACAGGUGAUUCAUGUAUCUUAUAUUUACUUUGGAAAGAGAGAAUUUAUCCCAUUUAUGAAACAGCAUAAUUAUAAAAUUAAGUUGUAACUAAAGAGGAUAGCUGAAGACUUCUAAGAACGUAGCUUAAAAUCUGAAGUGUGUUUCAUAUUUAGGCAUAACAAAAUAGUCAUUAGCAUUUACUGACUGUGUAAAAUGCUGCAUUCUUCCUAUUCAUGGAAUACUUACUAAAGAAAAACAUUGACUGAAUUAAAGUAGCGAGUACUUGGCAAAUUGUUUUACAAAAUGAUCCAGAGCCUUUUAUAUAUACAGCCUCUUGUGGAACACUUAAGAUAUUCUACAUUUUCAAUGCAAAAUUUGCACAGUUUUGAACAUGGGUAAACAGUAAAAUUUAAAUACAUGCUGAAUAAAAUCUCUGUUUUAUCACAGCUCAGUGUAGAUAUGGGCAAUAUAAGAAAGCAAAGAGGGCUGAUUUAUUUUUACUUUCUGCAGGCAGAAAAAAGAAUCUCUUUUUAUGAAUUCUUAUGUAAUGAACUCAGUUUCUGAGAAGACUGCAAUUUGACUACAGUCUUAUGAGCUGGUCAAUUAUUUAUUAUUUGAAUGUUUUACUGUUCGUGAGUCAUUCAUAAAGUAAUGCCAACAACUGUCAGUGAGCUGUUUUGAAUACUUGCCAAGUGCUUUGGAAAAAACCGCUAUUUCAGAAGUGCAUGUAGUAACCAUAAGGCCUAUAUAUAUUUGGCCAGUCAAAUCUGAAAAGUGACUGGAAUCAGAUACUUCAUUGACUACCAUUAAUAUUGGAGGACAGAGCUGAAGCCUAUUGGCUUUUCCAAGCUUGUCUGUGAUUCCUACAAAGUAAAUUGCUCAUUAAUUAUUAAUGUUGUGUAGCUGAAAUUCUAUCAUAUGAUUGGGCUUCUGGCAGAGUUUCAUAGUUAUUCAGCAAGCAAUAGGGGAAAGCAGUAAAUAGAUUUCAAAUAACAGGUACCUUAAUAACAGCUUCUUUAUGCAUGAAUAUCCUAAAUCUUGUAAGUGGAAAAUUUACUAAGGCAAUCACGUAAAGAUACAGAAAAAUGAAAUAAAACAUUUGGCAAUCAAUUUUGACAUCUUUCUAGAAAUGACCUUGUCUUCCAAUAUCUUUUUAAGAGCUGCAUUUUUUUCCUCCCUGCAUAAUAUCUGUACUGGUCUCCCAGUCCUCCUGCAGCUGACCAGAACAUAAUUUAAAAAGUAAAGCUGACAGCAGUUUCCCAACAUUUCUCUGCACAAAACCACAUACAUUUACCUGAAUGUUCAUGAACAGUAUGUACAAAGAAAGACAAAGAGAAAAUGGCUAAAUCAAAUAGUUGCAUAUUAUGUAGUACUUGACCAGCUCUUACCCUCUUGAAUAUCAGUUCAUGAGUUUCAAAUAAAGAGAAAACUGUUAAAAGUCAAUUUGCUGCAUGAGGCUGAAAUUUAAAUCUAGUAAUUAUUGGUUAGCAAUGUAUUUUCUGCUGCAUUCUGAAGUAGAGAUAGGUAGUCUGCUGAAUACAAUUUCAGGAAAAGAAUUCAAAGCCUCGGUUUGACUUCAUUAAUCUUGGAUUUUUUUCUAAAGAUUUUGCAUUGUUUCCUCUUAUGUUUCUAUGAUGCAGGAAAAAGCAUUCUCUUAAAGCAUAUUUCAUUGACAUGCAUAUAGAGUUAGUUUGUAUUCAGUGGCUUUAAGGAACAGAAGGUAUAAACAAAUGAAAAAAUAAGUCAAAAUGCCUUCUUGAGUGAGAUGAAUAGUAAGCAGGGUCUCUAAAUUAUUCAGAGUAGCAAGAAAUAACCUUGUAUACAUUGUAUUGAAUAUUGAAUAGAGAUUAGUUGAAAUACAAAAGCAUUUACCUUACAAAAAAAAUAACUUCAUACAGGAAUCAAAGAACUUGAUUUGCUUUUUUAAGUCAGCCAAACUCAGAAAUAGAUUUAAACCACUAGUGGGUAUGAAUAUAUCUGUAGUAUCAUCUAAUAAAAUUCAGUGGGGUUAGAUGAAAGGGGGCUUAUAAAAUAUAAUGAAAAAUGAAGAAUUUCAAUUUCUAUCAGAAAAUAUCUUUGUUAACUAAUGCUAAAUUAGAGUCCUGUAUAAAUAUUGUGAUAUGUUUAUCAGUAAAAAAACAAAUAAAAUUUUGUUA